AACGAACGCUGGCGGCAUGCCUAACACAUGCAAGUCGAACGAGACCUUCGGGUCUAGUGGCGCAAGGGUGCGUAACGCGUGGGAACCUGCACUUAGGUUCGGAAUAACUCCCCGAAAGGGGUGCCAAUACCGGAUAAUGUCUUCGGACCAAAGAUUUAUCGCCUUUGGAUGGGCCCGCGUUGGAUUAGCUAGUUGGUAGGGUAAAAGCCUACCAAGGCGAGGAUCCAUAGCUGGUCUGAGAGGAUGAUCAGCCACACUGGGACUGAGACACGGCCCAGACUCCGACGGGAGGCAGCAGUGGGGAAUAUUGGACAAUGGACGAAAGCCUGAUCCAGCAAUGCCGCGUGAGUGAUGAAGGCCUUAGGGUUGUAAAGCUCUUUUACCCGGGAUGAUAAUGACAGUACCGGGAGAAUAAGCUCCGGCUAACUCCGUG
RNAcentral lists this ribosomal RNA (433 nucleotides) under uncultured bacterium. RNAcentral describes it as "partial 16S ribosomal RNA". It matches the Rfam family "Bacterial small subunit ribosomal RNA", at positions 29 to 507 of the family's 1533-position model. The record is from RNAcentral.